Molecule: long non-coding RNA, 2477 nt
Organism: Phyllostomus discolor (pale spear-nosed bat)
Lineage: Eukaryota; Metazoa; Chordata; Mammalia; Chiroptera; Phyllostomidae
Exons: 3
Source: RefSeq, a predicted model, not a curated record
CGAAAAGAAAACUAGUCUGAAUGGGAAAGUACAUGGCUACUUUGAUGAGCUUAAAAAUGAAACUGUAAUCACUCAGGGAAAAAAAAAAACUAUCUCCCAGCUUCAGGGGGAGCAGAGGGUGCGGGAAAAUAGCAGCCUGGCAGGAGCAGCCAGAGUGUCCAGCAGAGGCGCAGCGACAGCGGCAGGAGAGGCCGACAGGCAGCGAGGCAGGGGAUUGGACACAAAGCUUCCUGAGCCACGAAUGAAGAUAAACAGUUUUCCAGAAACAUCCUCAUACACGUCUCCUUGGUGUCUGCACAGGAUGGUGCUGGACCAGGCAUCCACUCCAGAGAAUCUUCAGGAGGUGCUGAGUGCCCCCCAACCCCCAAGUGCAGCAUAUUCACAGCUAACCACCUUUUCACCUCAUCCCUGCUGGGCGAGUGUGGGAGGGGCUCUGACGGCUGCCUGAGGACCAAGGAGUUCAAAAUGCUGGCCAAGGACCGAGAAGGCACACUCUGAGCCCUGGGCCUUCUGCAGAGCCAGGCCUGGCAUCUGCCCCGAUAGUGCCUCCUUCCUCCACUGCAGCAUUAACAGUCCGUCCUGUGCACUGGGUGCCAUGUGGGUGCUGGGGACAGCACCGUACGUAACAAUGUCAGGCCAUGCCUAUGGAGCAAGGCAUCUAAGCACCUUAUAGAACUUCGUUUAAACCUGCUGACAGCCCUGUGAGUUAGGCACCACUUUACCUCCAUUUCACAGAUGAGGAAACCAAGGCACAAAGAGGUUAGUAAGUUGACAAAGGUCACACCAGAGAGGGAACCCACAAGCGGAGUUGGACAAGAGACCCCACUAUGCACCACUGUGCUGUCCACUCCUCCUCCACCCCCCAGAAGGCUCGCUGCCUCGGUCUACCUGCACCAGGCACAUCAAGUGCCAUAUUCUUGAGUCACCAUGUUCUUAUUUUGAACCUCAAUUCUUCAACCCACUCCUGGGUUUGCCCCUAGUGAGGCUAUCUCUGCAGUGGUCCCUUCGUGAACAUGGACAGGAAUGACACCUUUUCCCAGCUCUGUGGGGCUCCUCUCACCCCGCCCAGCUCCAUCCUUGUCAUUCCCACUUCUUCAUUGGCUUGAGCCUUCUGCCUUGGAGGCUAACCCUCUCUGAUUCUCUGAGGCUAAGCCCUGCCUCCCUCGGAGGGAAGCUGUCUUGCCCGUCCCCUCCAGCCAGUGUGAGUCAUCUUCCUCCUCAUCCCUGAGCAUCUACUGUUUAUACUAACCUUAAGCUCUUAGCCUGAGAGCUCAUUUUCUCUUCACCCCAAGUUUUAUGUUAAAGGCAACAAUCUUGUAUUUCCCACUCAGCCCAGAGCCUUGCAUAUAGGAAUGUUGGCCAAUGAUUUUGAUGACAGUAUCUUGUUUUUGUACAACGACUGACGCAGGAACUGUCUUCAGCUUCCCACCGCCCUUGGAGGGAGGCUGUUUACAGCCGCUCUGCACAGGAAGAAACAGGCUCGGAGAGGGUAUAAAGUGAUAAAGUGUGGCGCAGAUUUUUCUGGCUCGUAAACCAGCGCUAUUUCCCCUGCACCUUGCUUUUGGUGUCCACAUGACUCGAUGCAGAGUAAAUAGAGAAAGGAGUUUAGCAUGGGCUGAGCGGACCAGAGCCGUUCAUGCUCGGGCUUUGAGAGCCAGGUGGUUUGGGCUGAACAAAGAGGGGUUUCGGUGAGAGAACCACAGCGCCUCUGAAAACAGACCAAUGAUCAGGGGCUCCUUGAGGAAUGUAGAAUGAUGGAAGUGAACAUUUGGGCAUAUUUUUUAAUAACAGCUAAAUUGAAAUAUAAUUCAUAGACUAAAAUUUCCCCUUUUCAAGUACACAAUUCAGUGGUUUCCAGUGUGUUCACAGGGUUGUGCGACCGCCACGAAUAAUUUCACUAAAGCAUCUUCAUCAUCCGGUGAAGAAACACUGUGCCAUUGGCCGUCACUCCCAGGGCCCCUGCCCAAGGCCCCCGGCACCACCAUCUACCUUGUGUGUCUACGCAUUUGCCUGCUCCAGACGUUUCACAGAAAUGGGUUUACACACACAGGGCUUUUGUGACAGGCAUCUUUCUCUUUGUGUGAUCUUUUUGAAGUUCCUCCAUAUUGCAGAAAUAUUUCAUUUUGGGGGGCUCAACAGUAUCCCAUUGUAUAAAUGUACCAUAUUUUGUGUAUUCAUUCAUCAGCUGAUGGACAUUCGGCCUGCUCCCAAUGUUGUGUGUGAGUUCCUGUGCAGACACGCGUCCACUUCCCCGGGGCACACCACCACAAGCGGAGCGGCAGGGCCGCAUGGUAACUCCACAGCUAAGGUCUUGAGGAAAUGCCGAUCUGGCUUCCAAAGCAGCUCUUCCUUUUUACAAUCCCAACAGGGAUGUAUAUGGGCUUCAAUUUCUCCAUGUCCUCGACAACUUUGGUUAUUGUCUGUCUUUUUUAUUUUCAGCGUCUCGGUGGGUGUGAAGUGGUAUCUCAUCAUGGUUU